GAUGAAGAACGUAGCGAAAUGCGAUAAGUAAUGUGAAUUGCAGAAUUCAGUGAAUCAUCGAAUCUUUGAACGCACAUUGCGCCCCCUGGUAGUCCGGGGGGCAUGCCUGUUCGAGCGUCAUUUCACCACUCAAGCCUCGCUUGGUAUUGGGCAACGCGGUCCGCCGCGUGCCUCAAAUCGACCGGCUGGGUCUUCUGUCCCCUAAGCGUUGUGGAAACUAUUCGCUAAAGGGUGUUCGGGAGGCUACGCCGUAAAACAACCCCAUUUCUGAGGUUGACCUCGGAUCAGGUAGGGAUACCCGCUGAACUUAAGCAUAUCAAUAAGCGGAGGA
Molecule: unclassified non-coding RNA, 331 nt
Filed under: soil metagenome
Description: partial contains 5.8S ribosomal RNA, internal transcribed spacer 2, and large subunit ribosomal RNA
Rfam family: 5.8S ribosomal RNA (bases 1-120)
Source: RNAcentral